RNAcentral lists this transfer RNA (77 nucleotides) under Rhodococcus opacus. RNAcentral describes it as "tRNA-Ser(gct)". Lineage: Bacteria; Bacillati; Actinomycetota; Actinomycetes; Mycobacteriales; Nocardiaceae. The record is from RNAcentral.
GCGGUGUCGUGGCGGGGCCGAUCGCCGUCGGCUGCUACCCGGCGCUCGGCCCGACGAUCCUGCCGUCGAUGUUGUAC